AAUGUGUUACUAUCAUUUGGGUUUUUGUUCUCUGCAUAACUGUCUCUUUCACCUAUAUUAAUUCCUCAGCAUUCAAGAUGUUUGUAGGGUCCUCACCUCAGCUACCUCUCACAAGGUGCCCCUGAAAAAGAAAUUCAAGACGUUUGGGUCCUCAGCUCAACUGACCAAGACCUUUGCUCAUUGAAGGCAUGAAGUAAUUUGUGAUGCCCCCACGAUUGCAGUUUUUAAAUCCAGAUGGCUUGCUCUUUUUAACAUGUGCGAGAGCUGGAUGGUCUUUCAACAACACUGCUCCGGGUCUUCAGCAAGAAAGGUGCUUCUCAUGCAAGGAAGACACAGAGGAUCCUGGUGCCCAUGACUCAGGUAAAACAUGCACACUGCCAUGCAUCACAGUAAUGCUAAAAUUUCAAGAUCUAAUGUAAUGGGGAGAAGUAGGGUGUCUUGGAUCAUAUUGCAUUUCUCCCACUAAUUUCAAUCCUUCAGCCAGUUUUGAACUCAUUGUCUUCACCUCAGUUCUAACUACAGCUGGCUUUACACACAUCA
This is a long non-coding RNA of Engraulis encrasicolus (European anchovy), 540 nucleotides long. RefSeq lists it as uncharacterized. The transcript is spliced from 3 exons. The record is from RefSeq and is a predicted model, not a curated record. Lineage: Eukaryota; Metazoa; Chordata; Actinopteri; Clupeiformes; Engraulidae.